GACGGAGGAGGCUAGCGUUGUUCGGAAUUACUGGGCGUAAAGCGUACGCAGGUGGCGAAGCAAGUCGGAUGUGAAAGCCCGGGGCUCAACCCCGGAUGUGCAUCCGAUACUGUUUUGCUGGAGUCCGGAAGAGGAGAGCGGAAUUCCCAGUGUAGAGGUGAAAUUCGUAGAUAUUGGGAAGAACACCGGUGGCGAAGGCGGCUCUCUGGUCCGGUACUGACACUCAAGUACGAAAGCGUGGGGAGCAAAAGGG
This 253-nucleotide ribosomal RNA is filed under the name uncultured bacterium. RNAcentral's name for it is "partial 16S ribosomal RNA". It matches the Rfam family "Bacterial small subunit ribosomal RNA", at positions 524 to 776 of the family's 1533-position model. The record is from RNAcentral.